CAUGCAUGUCUCCGAACGAUAGUAGCUUGAUCUAGAAUCUGCGAACGGCUCCGUAUAUCUGUUAUAACCUAACGCCGGCCAGCAGCAACCGGCCAAAUAACCACGGUAAUCCUGUGGCUAAUACGUGUUACAAGCCGGGGCCGCCGAGCGCAAGCGAGGCGUCCCCGGUCUUGCCGCGCAACCAACGGCGGUGGCAACACCCCCUGCGGGAGUGCAGGCAAGGGCACCUGACCGCGGUCAGUAACCGCGGCUCGCGCGAUAGGCGCCAGACCUAUCAACUAGGAUGCCCAGGGAUCGCCUGGGCAUGGUUAUAACGGGUACAGAGGAUCAGGGUUCGAUCCUGGAGAGGUAGCCUGAGAGAUCGCUACUACUUCUAAGGAAGGCAGCAGGCGCGCAACGUUCCCAAUGGGGAAACCCUGAGGACGUCAGGGGGCAUAUCAAUGCCCGGCCGAUAAGGCCGGGCAAUUGAAAUGGGGGACCUCUAAACCCCACACCGAGUAACAAUUGGAG
RNAcentral lists this ribosomal RNA (510 nucleotides) under Metatrichia floriformis. RNAcentral describes it as "SSU rRNA". It matches the Rfam family "Eukaryotic small subunit ribosomal RNA", at positions 50 to 553 of the family's 1831-position model. Lineage: Eukaryota; Evosea; Eumycetozoa; Trichiida; Trichiidae. The record is from RNAcentral.